UGGGGGAUAUUGCACAAUGGGCGAAAGCCUGAUGCAGCGACGCCGCGUGGGGGAUGAAGGCCUUCGGGUUGUAAACUUCUUUUGCUCUGAACAAGGCAUGCUAAUGGGUGUGUUGAGUGUAGGUGUUGAUUAGCGCCGGCUAACUACGUGCCAGCAGCCGCGGUAAUACGUAGGGCGCGAGCGUUGUCCGGAAUUAUUGGGCGUAAAGGGCUUGUAGGUGGCUGGUUGCGUCUGUCGUGAAAGCUCAUGGCUUAACUGUGGGUUUGCGGUGGGUACGGGCUGGCUUGAGUGCAGUAGGGGAGGCUGGAAUUCCUGGUGUAGCGGUGGAAUGCGCAGAUAUCAGGAGGAAUACCGGUGGCGAAGGCGGGUCUCUGGGCUGUUACUGACACUGAGGAGCGAAAGCAUGGGGAGCGAACAGG
Molecule: ribosomal RNA, 419 nt
Filed under: bacterium
Lineage: Bacteria
Description: partial 16S ribosomal RNA
Rfam family: Bacterial small subunit ribosomal RNA
Source: RNAcentral